This 2924-nucleotide ribosomal RNA is filed under the name Klebsiella aerogenes. RNAcentral describes it as "23S ribosomal RNA". It matches the Rfam family "Bacterial large subunit ribosomal RNA". The record is from RNAcentral. Lineage: Bacteria; Pseudomonadati; Pseudomonadota; Gammaproteobacteria; Enterobacterales; Enterobacteriaceae.
GGGUUGUGAGGUUAAGCGACUAAGCGUACACGGUGGAUGCCCUGGCAGUCAGAGGCGAUGAAGGACGUGCUAAUCUGCGAAAAGCGUCGGUAAGGUGAUAUGAACCGUUACAGCCGGCGAUGUCCGAAUGGGGAAACCCAGUGUGAUUCGUCACACUAUCGUUAACUGAAUACAUAGGUUAACGAGGCGAACCGGGGGAACUGAAACAUCUAAGUACCCCGAGGAAAAGAAAUCAACCGAGAUUCCCCCAGUAGCGGCGAGCGAACGGGGAGCAGCCCAGAGUCUGAAUCAGCUUGUGUGUUAGUGGAACGGUCUGGAAAGUCCGACGGUACAGGGUGAUAGUCCCGUACACCAAAAUGCACAGGCUGUGAACUCGAAGAGUAGGGCGGGACACGUGGUAUCCUGUCUGAAUAUGGGGGGACCAUCCUCCAAGGCUAAAUACUCCUGACUGACCGAUAGUGAACCAGUACCGUGAGGGAAAGGCGAAAAGAACCCCGGCGAGGGGAGUGAAAAGAACCUGAAACCGUGUACGUACAAGCAGUGGGAGCACCUUCGGGUGUGACUGCGUACCUUUUGUAUAAUGGGUCAGCGACUUAUAUUCUGUAGCAAGGUUAACCGUAUAGGGGAGCCGCAGGGAAACCGAGUCUUAACUGGGCGUUAAGUUGCAGGGUAUAGACCCGAAACCCGGUGAUCUAGCCAUGGGCAGGUUGAAGGUUGGGUAACACUAACUGGAGGACCGAACCGACUAAUGUUGAAAAUUAGCGGAUGACUUGUGGCUGGGGGUGAAAGGCCAAUCAAACCGGGAGAUAGCUGGUUCUCCCCGAAAGCUAUUUAGGUAGCGCCUCGUGAAUUCAUCUUCGGGGGUAGAGCACUGUUUCGGCUAGGGGGUCAUCCCGACUUACCAACCCGAUGCAAACUACGAAUACCGAAGAAUGUUAUCACGGGAGACACACGGCGGGUGCUAACGUCCGUCGUGAAGAGGGAAACAACCCAGACCGCCAGCUAAGGUCCCAAAGUCACAGUUAAGUGGGAAACGAUGUGGGAAGGCACAGACAGCCAGGAUGUUGGCUUAGAAGCAGCCAUCAUUUAAAGAAAGCGUAAUAGCUCACUGGUCGAGUCGGCCUGCGCGGAAGAUGUAACGGGGCUAAACUGUGCACCGAAGCUGCGGCAGCGACACUAUGUGUUGUUGGGUAGGGGAGCGUUCUGUAAGCCUGCGAAGGUGGCCUGUGAGGGUUGCUGGAGGUAUCAGAAGUGCGAAUGCUGACAUAAGUAACGAUAAUGCGGGUGAAAAGCCCGCACGCCGGAAGACCAAGGGUUCCUGUCCAACGUUAAUCGGGGCAGGGUGAGUCGACCCCUAAGGCGAGGCCGAAAGGCGUAGUCGAUGGGAAACAGGUUAAUAUUCCUGUACUUGGUGUUACUGCGAAGGGGGGACGGAGAAGGCUAUGUUAGCCGGGCGACGGUUGUCCCGGUUUAAGCAUGUAGGCGGAGGUUCCAGGUAAAUCCGGUACCUUUUUAACGCUGAGGUGUGAUGACGAGGCACUACGGUGCUGAAGUAACAAAUGCCCUGCUUCCAGGAAAAGCCUCUAAGCAUCAGGUAACAUUGAAUCGUACCCCAAACCGACACAGGUGGUCAGGUAGAGAAUACCAAGGCGCUUGAGAGAACUCGGGUGAAGGAACUAGGCAAAAUGGUGCCGUAACUUCGGGAGAAGGCACGCUGAUAUGUAGGUGAAGCCCCUGCGGGUGGAGCUGAAAUCAGUCGAAGAUACCAGCUGGCUGCAACUGUUUAUUAAAAACACAGCACUGUGCAAACACGAAAGUGGACGUAUACGGUGUGACGCCUGCCCGGUGCCGGAAGGUUAAUUGAUGGGGUUAUCCGUAAGGAGAAGCUCUUGAUCGAAGCCCCGGUAAACGGCGGCCGUAACUAUAACGGUCCUAAGGUAGCGAAAUUCCUUGUCGGGUAAGUUCCGACCUGCACGAAUGGCGUAAUGAUGGCCAGGCUGUCUCCACCCGAGACUCAGUGAAAUUGAACUCGCUGUGAAGAUGCAGUGUACCCGCGGCAAGACGGAAAGACCCCGUGAACCUUUACUAUAGCUUGACACUGAACAUUGAGCCUUGAUGUGUAGGAUAGGUGGGAGGCUUUGAAGCGUGGACGCCAGUCUGCGUGGAGCCAACCUUGAAAUACCACCCUUUAAUGUUUGAUGUUCUAACGUUGGCCCCUUAUCGGGGUUGCGGACAGUGUCUGGUGGGUAGUUUGACUGGGGCGGUCUCCUCCCAAAGAGUAACGGAGGAGCACGAAGGUUAGCUAAUCCUGGUCGGACAUCAGGAGGUUAGUGCAAUGGCAUAAGCUAGCUUGACUGCGAGCGUGACGGCGCGAGCAGGUGCGAAAGCAGGUCAUAGUGAUCCGGUGGUUCUGAAUGGAAGGGCCAUCGCUCAACGGAUAAAAGGUACUCCGGGGAUAACAGGCUGAUACCGCCCAAGAGUUCAUAUCGACGGCGGUGUUUGGCACCUCGAUGUCGGCUCAUCACAUCCUGGGGCUGAAGUAGGUCCCAAGGGUAUGGCUGUUCGCCAUUUAAAGUGGUACGCGAGCUGGGUUUAGAACGUCGUGAGACAGUUCGGUCCCUAUCUGCCGUGGGCGCUGGAGAAUUGAGGGGGGCUGCUCCUAGUACGAGAGGACCGGAGUGGACGCAUCACUGGUGUUCGGGUUGUCAUGCCAAUGGCAUUGCCCGGUAGCUAAAUGCGGAAGAGAUAAGUGCUGAAAGCAUCUAAGCACGAAACUUGCCCCGAGAUGAGUUCUCCCUGACUCCUUGAGAGUCCUGAAGGAACGUUAAAGACGAUGACGUUGAUAGGUCGGGUGUGUAAGCGUAGCGAUACGUUGAGCUAACCGAUACUAAUGAACCGUGAGGCUUAACCUUACAACGCCGAAG